RNAcentral lists this transfer RNA (74 nucleotides) under Lactobacillus sp. Its description in RNAcentral is "tRNA-Pro". It matches the Rfam family "tRNA". Rfam says of the family: Transfer RNA (tRNA) molecules are approximately 80 nucleotides in length. RNAcentral also lists the same sequence under 52 other names. The record is from RNAcentral. Lineage: Bacteria; Bacillati; Bacillota; Bacilli; Lactobacillales; Lactobacillaceae.
CGGGAAAUAGCUCAGCUUGGUAGAGCGCUACGUUCGGGACGUAGAGGUCGCAGGUUCGAAUCCUGUUUUCCCGA